GUUGAAGAACGCAGCGAAAUGCGAUACGUAAUGUGAAUUGCAGAAUUCAGUGAAUCAUCGAGUCUUUGAACGCACAUUGCGCCCCCUGGUAUUCCGGGGGGCAUGCCUGUCCGAGCGUCAUUGCUGCCCUCAAGCACGGCUUGUGUGUUGGGCCUCCGUCCUCCUCCCGGGGGACGGGCCCGAAAGGCAGCGGCGGCACCGCGUCCGGUCCUCGAGCGUAUGGGGCUUCGUCACCCGCUCUUGUAGGCCCGGCCGGCGCUUGCCGACACAUCAAUCUUUUUUCCAGGUUGACCUCGGAUCAGGUAGGGAUACCCGCUGAACUUAAGCAUAUCAAUAAGCAGAGGA
RNAcentral lists this unclassified non-coding RNA (345 nucleotides) under soil metagenome. Its description in RNAcentral is "partial contains 5.8S ribosomal RNA, internal transcribed spacer 2, and large subunit ribosomal RNA". The stretch from base 1 to 120 matches the Rfam family "5.8S ribosomal RNA", at positions 35 to 154 of the family's 154-position model. The record is from RNAcentral.